This 698-nucleotide ribosomal RNA is filed under the name Streptomyces sp. Sp080513G1-17. RNAcentral describes it as "bacterial SSU rRNA". It matches the Rfam family "Bacterial small subunit ribosomal RNA", at positions 27 to 742 of the family's 1533-position model. The record is from RNAcentral. Lineage: Bacteria; Bacillati; Actinomycetota; Actinomycetes; Kitasatosporales; Streptomycetaceae.
GGACGAACGCUGGCGGCGUGCUUAACACAUGCAAGUCGAACGAUGAACCACUUCGGUGGGGAUUAGUGGCGAACGGGUGAGUAACACGUGGGCAAUCUGCCCUUCACUCUGGGACAAGCCCUGGAAACGGGGUCUAAUACCGGAUACGAGUUUCACAGGCAUCUGUGAUUCUGGAAAGCUCCGGCGGUGAAGGAUGAGCCCGCGGCCUAUCAGCUUGUUGGUGAGGUAAUGGCUCACCAAGGCGACGACGGGUAGCCGGCCUGAGAGGGCGACCGGCCACACUGGGACUGAGACACGGCCCAGACUCCUACGGGAGGCAGCAGUGGGGAAUAUUGCACAAUGGGCGAAAGCCUGAUGCAGCGACGCCGCGUGAGGGAUGACGGCCUUCGGGUUGUAAACCUCUUUCAGCAGGGAAGAAGCGAAAGUGACGGUACCUGCAGAAGAAGCGCCGGCUAACUACGUGCCAGCAGCCGCGGUAAUACGUAGGGCGCAAGCGUUGUCCGGAAUUAUUGGGCGUAAAGAGCUCGUAGGCGGCUUGUCACGUCGAUUGUGAAAGCCCGAGGCUUAACCUCGGGUCUGCAGUCGAUACGGGCUAGCUAGAGUGUGGUAGGGGAGAUCGGAAUUCCUGGUGUAGCGGUGAAAUGCGCAGAUAUCAGGAGGAACACCGGUGGCGAAGGCGGAUCUCUGGGCCAUUACUG